Long non-coding RNA from Telopea speciosissima, 140 nucleotides. RefSeq lists it as uncharacterized. The transcript is spliced from 2 exons. The record is from RefSeq and is a predicted model, not a curated record. NCBI's taxonomy places the organism in Eukaryota, Viridiplantae, Streptophyta, Magnoliopsida, Proteales, Proteaceae.
UCUGAGAAAAUAAGGCUGAGGUUGUUAUUAGUUGCAAGGGAUCGGUUGAGAUGCAUUUUGACGAAAGCAGGAUUAAUUAUAAGAGCACACCAGGGUUUGCAUACGCACUUGAAUCUUAGAAGAGACUUGACUGGAAGCCU